This 161-nucleotide small nuclear RNA is filed under the name Pogona vitticeps (central bearded dragon). Its description in RNAcentral is "U1 spliceosomal RNA (ENSPVIG00000025567.1)". It matches the Rfam family "U1 spliceosomal RNA". Rfam says of the family: U1 is a small nuclear RNA (snRNA) component of the spliceosome (involved in pre-mRNA splicing). Its 5' end forms complementary base pairs with the 5' splice junction, thus defining the 5' donor site of an intron. The record is from Rfam by way of RNAcentral. Lineage: Eukaryota; Metazoa; Chordata; Lepidosauria; Squamata; Agamidae.
ACUCUUCACUGGCAGGGGAGAUACCAUGAUAAUAAAAGAGGUCCCAGGGUAAGGCUCAUCCAUUGCACUUCAGGUGUGCUGAUCCCUGUGAUUUCCCCAAAUGUGGGAAAAUAAACUGUCUAAUUCAUGGUAGUGGGGCACUGAGUUUGUGGUUUCCCCUA